CCUUCAGUGCCCAACAGCUGGGACAAUUUCUCUAAGGGUUUUGAGAUGGGACUGUCUAGUUGCAGGAAGACAAGCUCAGGGAUCCCACUGAUUCUACAUUAUGGGUCUUACUCUUUCAUCCAGACUGGAGUGCAAGGGCAUGAUCUCAGCUCACUGCGCAAACUCCGCCUCCCAGGCUCAAGUAAUUCUCCCGCCUCAGCCUCCCGAAUAACUGAGACUACAAGCCCGC
Molecule: long non-coding RNA, 229 nt
Organism: Gorilla gorilla gorilla (western lowland gorilla)
Lineage: Eukaryota; Metazoa; Chordata; Mammalia; Primates; Hominidae
Exons: 3
Source: RefSeq, a predicted model, not a curated record